AACGAACGCUGGCGGCAGGCUUAACACAUGCAAGUCGAACGCCCCGCAAGGGGAGUGGCAGACGGGUGAGUAACGCGUGGGAAUCUACCUGAUACUACGGAACAACUGAGGGAAACUUCAGCUAAUACCGUAUACGCCCUAAGGGGGAGAGAUUUAUCGGUAUCAGAUGAGCCCGCGUUGGAUUAGCUAGUUGGUGGGGU
This 200-nucleotide ribosomal RNA is filed under the name uncultured bacterium. RNAcentral describes it as "partial 16S ribosomal RNA". It matches the Rfam family "Bacterial small subunit ribosomal RNA", at positions 29 to 258 of the family's 1533-position model. The record is from RNAcentral.